ACUUUUUGCACGACAAAGAAUUGGUACGAUUGAGAUUGGAACGAUCAAGAUUUGUGGAGAACGGAGGUCCUUCAAGAGCGGAUGCGAUUGAAGAUCAACGAAAUCUUCUAAUUCUUGUAAUGUCUAAAUUAUUUUCUUUGAAUAAUAUGAGUGGCUAAACCCCCCAAUGCCAGGGGGUGUCCCUGAUUUGAUCGUGUAAUGACUAUGAAAAUGUAAUUCCCUCAAUAUUGUGUUUGUUAUUCAAUUUCAUUGUGCAAUGUUUUUAAUGCUUU
Molecule: long non-coding RNA, 272 nt
Filed under: Lathyrus oleraceus (garden pea)
Lineage: Eukaryota; Viridiplantae; Streptophyta; Magnoliopsida; Fabales; Fabaceae
Description: Pisum sativum (pea) long non-coding RNA (PSAT_LNC029701)
Source: RNAcentral